GCUUGGCAGCAUCUUCACAGCAAGACUUUUAAAACAAAGGUAAUUGCACAGUGUAACAACAGUUAUACAAUAAUGAGCAAGAACAAAAAGAAACAAAACAAGAUUAUACAAUAUUUAAACAAUAUUCACAAAAAGGAAAACAGAACCUACAUGGUAACAAACAUAGCAACCAAACUACUGUUUGACGCAUUGAAGAGGUCAAAAUUAUUAUAUAUAUUAGCUAUUACAUAUUCGUAUAGAGCUACCAAUCCCUGCAAAAUCUAGAUCACUGGUUUUCAUUACACACACACACACACACACACACACACACACACACACACACACACACACACACACACACACACACACACACACACACACGCACACACACGCACACGCACACACACGCACACACACACGCACACACACACACACACACACACACACACACACACCAAGAAGGAAACAGCGAGAAAAGAAAAAAAAGAAGGAAAAGUAUGGGGAACCGCGGUCGUCUUGCGCCGUCGCAUCUCCCUCGCCCAGGAGGAAUAAAGAGGUUUUUGGUAAGCAGGGAUGGGCGAUUCUCUCCGUCAGCAUCAGCUUCCACCAGCGAGGACGGGGCGAGGAAGCGAAGCGGGGCUUUGCUAUUCGUCAGGCGCAACGCCGCCCGCUCGCGGGGCCGGAGGCAGGGCGGCAAGGGUGCGAGUUCCCGCCAAAUGCUAGCCCUGAAUGCCAGCUCGUUUCGCGUCUCGACAGCUUAGUGGAGUAGUUGGUGCAUUUCUGUUAUCAUGGACUGCGCAUAUAAAACUACACAAGGUAACAUGGACAAGAAGAGCGCAAGCCCUUUCCAUGCAGUGGAGCCGCCUUGUCACGUCGUUCAGAAUAUGCGUACUCGUAGGUGGCAUUUUAAUUUUAUGUUGUGUAGUACAUGACCGCCUUUGUCAAGUGAACAAAACUCGCUCUGUAUUGCGCAAAUGGUUUUGCAAUGUAUGAUGAACUCCUUGUUAUUGUGUUGUUGUCUUUCUGGCAGGAAGAAAAAAAUAAGAGCUUUAUAUGAGAACGGAUCAAGCGUUCUAGAGUUGGGACAAGGAAAUGUGAGACGUAUACUUUCAUAUAUAUUUUUUCAUAUGAUUUUUUCGUCUUGUAAGCGUGGCGUAUUUUCCUUUAUUUUUUUUCUAGGAAACAUUGGAACGACACUGCUUAAAUUGAAGCAUAGUGUACGAAUGACCUGCUACGCUCGGUCGGGAAGAAAUCAGGUAAGAAUGGAUUGUGUGUGGCACUUCUCCACAUAUGGACUUGAGUAGAUCUAGGAACAUCAGACAAAAAUGCAUGUACGUGAAACACUGUGGACAACCGAUAUUUUGUAUGAGCACUGUAACUAUCCAAGAUUCACUCUCGACGGGGACAGAGAAAUACCGGAUGCUGUACCGUUCAGAGCCAAGAACAUGUAAUGGCUGAAAAAGAGACUUCCAGGCAGUAUGCAAAACUCUAGCUCACAGCAGACCAGCACUGUCCUUUAGCUGUAUCGUACUAUUUCAGUGAACAAAGACUGCUUGCAAAUUGUUAACACUGCUGCACGAAAAAAAUAAUGUAUUUUAUGAUUGCAAAAUAAACCCCUAAAAAAUAAAACAUUGCGUUCACGUGUUUCUUUUGUUGAGUGUUACGUAUUUAUACUAACGAGUACAGAGAAUAAUUAGUGGCAUUUAAUUAUGUUUCACAUGUAACUUAUACGAGCAUGUCGCGUAUAUUAAUUGUCAGCGCGAUUUAAACGCCUCUAAUAAACUGUGUAUGGUUGACCUGAAAACGUAACACGCAGAAAAAAAAAACCUGAUGUGUUUUUCAAUAUAAUAAAAAAUAAAGAAAAAAAACGUCCGCACCCAGCCGAUGGCCAAAGGCAAACCGGUGCUUACGAAAUGUUGGGUCGUAGUCGGCCCACGUGCAGUGUGCACUCGGCCGCGUCGGCUGCAGUGGUCGGGCCGUCGCUUGCCGAUGGUCGUUAGACGUGAGGCCAGUGUCAAUCCCCGAUGCCGGCCCCCCAUCGGGUGCCGAGGUUGGGCCAACCGUUUUGCAGUCGGCCAGAGACGUUGGGCCGAUUUCGUAACGGGGACUUUCUGCUGCUUGGGUUCUUGUUUGCUUCAAUUAGCUUUCCGCUAAAUUUUCUCUCCCCCAAUUAACAUGGAUAUCCUUCCCUUACUAUAGCUUCUGUCAAUUGUAGAGGUUUGU
This is a long non-coding RNA of Dermacentor andersoni, 2202 nucleotides long. RefSeq lists it as uncharacterized. NCBI's taxonomy places the organism in Eukaryota, Metazoa, Arthropoda, Arachnida, Ixodida, Ixodidae. The record is from RefSeq and is a predicted model, not a curated record.